This is a long non-coding RNA of Phlebotomus papatasi, 2109 nucleotides long. RefSeq lists it as uncharacterized. NCBI's taxonomy places the organism in Eukaryota, Metazoa, Arthropoda, Insecta, Diptera, Psychodidae. The transcript is spliced from 2 exons. The record is from RefSeq and is a predicted model, not a curated record.
CAAGCUAUUUUAGAAAAAACACACAAAAUACUGCAAAUCGUUUGACCAAUGCAAACAAAAAGCGGCGAGACAUGGAAAUGACGUUUCUUCUCGCUGUGAGACAUCAGAAAUUGCUUCGCUUUUUUGUUACUUUUUGCUCCAUACCUUUUGUUACCUUUUACCCCAAGUGGUUAUUUUUAUAAAAGAAUUUCUGGAGAAAAGAAUCUUCGAAAAAUUCUAAAAUACAUAGCGGCUUCGUAUUCAAUGAAUCCAAGUCAUUUAGGAAAUAAUCAUCAGUGCAUAAAUUUUGAAUAAUAAGUAGGUAAUAACUGAUAUAUUCUUCAAGGAAAACAUUUUAAAAAUAGGGCUAAAAAUUUCAAUAUUUUUUUUAUUUUCUGAAAUCCUUGUUCGAAUUCUAAGAAACUUACGACUUUGAAGAAGGUCUAUGGAGGCCAUAUAUGGAAAAAAAUUUUAAGUCGCUAUUUUUAUCUUGGAAGAUAUUGAAUUUUCAAAUUUUCAAUUCGUGACUUUUUGCCCCAGUGUCCCCUAUACAUUGUUUUAAUACAAGAAUUUCACAUUUUGGUCAAACAGCUGUCAAAUAGGAUCUGUCAAAAAAAAAAUUAUAUAACCUGAAUGUCAAGGGUCGUCUGGCCCCUUCUAAAGCAGAGAUGAGUAAGAACCGUUUCAAACCGAAUAAACGUCAAAAUAAUUUUGUUCAGGUAGCGUUUUGACCAUUGGCGUACAGUUUACAUUUGACGUUUCUCAGGUUUCAAAACGGUUAUUGCACACCUUUGCUAUUAAGAAAGGAAGUAGAAUUUUGAUUGAUUAUCAAACUCUUUCAACUCAAAUCUUUUGUUUCAUUGUCAUCUUGGGAUUUUAAACAUUAAUUAACAUGACAGCUGUCAAAUAUCAUAUGUCAAAAGUUUGACUUAUAGCCCUUGAAGUCUAUUCAAACAAUAAGUCGUUGCAGUCUCAUUUUUAUACGAACUUCCUACAUUGCCUAAUUUUACAGCUGUCAAAAAUAUAUUUGUUGAAUUUAAAGCGCUUUUAUAUCUAUUGGUCCCAUCUAUACAAAUACUUGGAAAAAAUCAGUGAAAAAAAUUGAUAGGGAAAAUAUAAGACGUGCAGUUGGAGAAGCUCUUUUGUAAAUAGCGCAUGCGAUUCACAGUCCAAAUGGCCUCUCUGUUCGGUGAAAAGUUCUUUGAGGAAAACUAAACCAGUAUUUGUUAGCACACAUACGGUUUAAUCUAUUGUCUAUGGCCGUGAAGGAGGAAAACGCAAUUCCUGUCUGCCAUCCUGCCAGUGAUCGUGGGAUAAAGGAUGCGAUGUGACUUGUGAGUGUUCCUGGUGGACUUUGAGCAGCAAAAAAAGUCCUAACCACGUACAUUUUGGGCUUGGAAAAAGCCCCUCACCGAAGAAAAAAAGUGGCAAGUGAGAGUAAGAUGAAAAAAGACGUGAAAACUCGUGCACGGGAAUCUUGCCAAGUGGAAAUUAAUUUGAGAAUUUGUUGAAUUUGUUGAAUUUCUUGUGUUGUCUUUUGGGGGAUACUGUGAGGAUUUUGUGCAGUUUAUUGGGUGGAAAGGGCCAGAGCCUUUGCCUGGGUGAGGUGGUGGCCAAAGUGAGAAAAGCUCAAGUGCGUUGGAUAUUAAUGUGAGGGUGAAAAGUGACCUCCCUGGGAGGAGGUUUACAGGCAAGAAAGACUCUGCCCAACCGAAUGUCAUUGAGACUUUUUUUCUAGAAAGAGUGCUAAGGGAUAGUUGUUAGAGAGCAAUUCAAUUCAGUCGACUGGCCAGAAGAUUUAUUCCCAAUGUGUGACAUUCCCUAACUGAUAAGAAACUGUGUUAAAGAGUCCAGUCAGUGCAUUUUUUGGGAUAUUUAUCAAAAGAGUUUCUGUGUCCUCCGUGGAAGAUGCUGUGCUUUAGGUGGAUGCUAAAGAAUUGUGUGAAGGCGUAGCACAGAUUGCUGAAGAAAGUGAAGCACAACGUGAGCCGCGUGGAUCGGCAUUAACCAUUUCCCGUAUAGAUUUCAUAGAGAGAUGGGGCCUCACACCUGUUCUCAGGCCCAGACAGGAGCCUCGGAUCAGCGGUGAAAAUCAAACCAAUGCACUGCCCCCUCUUCUCACCGACAGGU